Molecule: long non-coding RNA, 694 nt
Organism: Homo sapiens (human)
Lineage: Eukaryota; Metazoa; Chordata; Mammalia; Primates; Hominidae
Source: Ensembl
AGGAAUCAGAAAUAAGCAAUAGCAGCAUGGAUUUCUGAAGUACUGUUGAAUAAAAUCUGUUCUCCGCCUUGUAAUUGUUAAGUGAUCGGGAGGCUCUGCUGCUUGAGGUCUUGGAUCACCAGAUCGACCGUUGUUUCCUUCUGGUGUUUUGGAAUGAACUAAUGGAGGAAUCUUUCGGAAGUUGAGGCUUUCAUCAAAAACACGAUCAACCAACUAAUGGGACGAAAGCAAACCUUUAUGAGAACACAGUAAUUUGAAAAAGUACCAAUAUUGGCAUUACAAUUUUUAUGAUUAGACAGAAGUUAUUCCAUUCUCAAGUAGUAACAGAGGCACAACAUCUUCAAUAAACCAAUUACUCUUUCUUUUUAUAAGCACUUCAAAUGUAUUUCCUUUAUAAAAUCGAGAUUCAUCUACACAGGUUUUAUUUUCAAAAUCCAAAAUAUAUAACUAUGUUAAAUUUAAUUCUUCCAUGGAUAAGAUUUUCUCCAAAUGGAAAACAGAUGGUAAAUAGAAAAAAAGCUGAGCCAUGUAGAUGGACAAUGAGUUCAUUUUACUCACAUUGCCUUACCAGUGUAAAAUAAUGUUUCUUUUUCUUUUAGUUUCCUAUCUUGUUUUUUCCUCCCCAAAUCCAGGUGUCAAAUUUCUUCACAAGAUACAUAAAUUGCAAAUUCCAAUUAAGUUUACAAAAGGAAAA